Molecule: unclassified non-coding RNA, 798 nt
Filed under: Hevea brasiliensis (rubber tree)
Lineage: Eukaryota; Viridiplantae; Streptophyta; Magnoliopsida; Malpighiales; Euphorbiaceae
Source: RNAcentral
UAAACAUUUCCAUUAUGAUUAUGAUGAUUUUUUCAUAUGGGAUCUUCUCUUGCCAAUCUUUCCCGUCACCUUCAAAUUCCAACAAUGUGUCUAGGAAGUCCUCAGCCUUCUUCUCACUCGGUUUGUGCUUCUCAAUCCUCUCUUUCACAAACCCUUCAAUAAUCUCUUUCGCUCGUCCCAGGUCUUUCAACAUGUUCUUCUUUAUUCCUUGUGGAUCUAACCAUUUCAAGAAAGGUAGAAAGUCUGCUACAUUUGGCUUCCCUGCCCACACUGAAGUCUUUCCUAGGGCUUGAAAGAAUUCAUACCCUUCUUUACUUUGUGAAUGCAAAAGGUCUCGUGACAGCAUGAGGUUCCCAACUAUGUUAAAUAACAUUGUGGAGAGAUAGUGACGUAAAUUCACUGCGACUGAUUCUCCCCUUGCACCUCCAGCUGUCGCAUCAUCUUCAAUACUCCUUAUCAUUUGAUCAAUGCAUUUUCGCCGUAUGGAGGCUGUCUCAUUGAUUCGCUUAUUGGACAUCAUUUCCAUAGAGCAAAGACGCCUAAGCAUGCGCCAGUACGGGCUAAACUGGCCGACUGCAAGUGACCCAUCCCUGUAGUUAUGACUCGUUAACACAUCAAGACACUUACGAUCACAGAAGUUGGCGUCGUGAUUCUUGAACAGCUCUGCCGCAGCCUUGGCCGACUGUAUCACUACCGUUUCCAUGGAUCCUAGUCUUAACCGGAGCACAGGUCCAUACUUCAACUUAAGCUCUUGCAGAGUUUGAUGGGGCACGGUUCCAAGAUCGAAAAUAUUGCCCA